UGAGGAAUAUUGGGCAAUAGGGGCAACCCUGACCCAGCCAUGCCGCGUGAAGGAUGAAUGCCCUAUGGGUUGUAAACUUCUUUUGUACGGGACGAAUCCCCUUUACGUGUAGAGGGUUGACGGUACUGUAUGAAUAAGCAUCGGCUAACUCCGUGCCAGCAGCCGCGGUAAUACGGAGGAUGCAAGCGUUAUCCGGAUUCAUUGGGUUUAAAGGGUGCGUAGGCGGAAUGAUAAGUCAGCGGUGAAAGCCUGCAGCUUAACUGUAGAAAUGCCAUUGAUACUGUCGUUCUUGAAUGCAGCUGAGGUAAGCGGAAUGUGUAAUGUAGCGGUGAAAUGCGUAGAUAUUACACAGAACGUCGAUUGCGUAGGCAGCUUACUAAACUGUGAUUGACGCUGAGGC
Molecule: ribosomal RNA, 400 nt
Filed under: uncultured bacterium
Lineage: Bacteria
Description: bacterial SSU rRNA
Rfam family: Bacterial small subunit ribosomal RNA
Source: RNAcentral